CUGCAGCCCGAGUAGUGAUCGUUAUUAUUGGGCCUAAAACGUCCGUAGCCUGUUUGGUAAAUGCUUGGGUAAAUCGUGUGGCUUAACCAUACGAAUACCGGGUAGACUGCCAGACUUGAGACCGGGAGAGGUUGGAGGUACUCCUGGGGUAGAGGUGAAAUUCUGUAAUCCUGGGGGGACCACCAGUGGCGAAGGCGUCCAACCAGAACGGGUCUGACGGUGAGGGACGAAGCCCAGGGGCGCAAACCGGAUUAGAUACCCGAGUAGUCC
Molecule: ribosomal RNA, 270 nt
Filed under: uncultured archaeon
Lineage: Archaea
Description: partial 16S ribosomal RNA
Rfam family: Archaeal small subunit ribosomal RNA
Source: RNAcentral